This 433-nucleotide ribosomal RNA is filed under the name uncultured bacterium. RNAcentral describes it as "partial 16S ribosomal RNA". It matches the Rfam family "Bacterial small subunit ribosomal RNA", at positions 29 to 507 of the family's 1533-position model. The record is from RNAcentral.
AACGAACGCUGGCGGCAUGCCUAACACAUGCAAGUCGAACGAGACCUUCGGGUCUAGUGGCGCACGGGUGCGUAACGCGUGGUAACCUGCCCUUAGGUUCGGAAUAACUCCCCGAAAGGGGUGCUAAUACCGGAUAAUGUCUUCGGACCAAAGAUUUAUCGCCUUUGGAUGGGCCCGCGUUGGAUUAGCUAGUUGGUAGGGUAAAAGCCUACCAAGGCGACGAUCCAUAGCUGGUCUGAGAGGAUGAUCAGCCACACUGGGACUGAGACACGGCCCAGAAUACUACGGGAGGCAGCAGUGGGGAAUAUAGGAAAAUGGGGGAAAGCCUGAUCCAGCAAGGCCGCGUGAGUGAUGAAGGACUUAGGGUAGUAAAGCUCUUUUACAAGGGAUGAGAAUGACAGUACCGGGAGAAUAAGCACCGGCUAACUCCGUG